RNAcentral lists this unclassified non-coding RNA (20 nucleotides) under synthetic construct. The record is from RNAcentral.
GCGUGUCGUGCAGCCUCCGG